Long non-coding RNA from Drosophila yakuba, 731 nucleotides. RefSeq lists it as uncharacterized. The record is from RefSeq and is a predicted model, not a curated record. Lineage: Eukaryota; Metazoa; Arthropoda; Insecta; Diptera; Drosophilidae. The transcript is spliced from 2 exons.
UAAGUUUGCUUAAACAUUAAAUCUGUCUUUAUAUUUUUUCAAAAAUUUUAUGAUAAAUGUUAUUUUCAAGUACUAAAAAGUAAAAAGCUGAUAAGCAAUGGUGAAAUCCCUUUGGAAAGCUAACUUGUAAAUCAAAGUGGUAGUUAAUUUGCAUAAAAUUUAAUUCCACUUGAAUCCAUCUGCUUCGAAGUAGCUUCCAAGUAGCUUCCCCAUGCAAAGAAUUAUUAAAACAGUUCCGAAUUAAUUCCUGAGACACAGCCGAAUGUAAAUUCAGGGGCGGAUCGGGCGGAAAAAGCUUCAUCCAAAUCCCCAUCCAUAUACCCACCGAAAUCGGGGAGUUAACUAUGCAAGUACGUGUAUGUGGGGCACAGACCGAGUUGAUUUCCAUCUCAAUUGGCCAAAAUGAGCAGAGUUCUAGUCGAAAGGAAGCCACAGCCGAUGACAGUGACAAUGGCGCAUCUGGAUACACAGAUUGGGAUUGUAUCUUUCACUUGCAUUUCAAGAUGCAAAUGUCAAGACGUGUUGUACUCUGGAUUUCCAUCCCCUUCCACCUCCCACCUCCCCCUCUCGAAGGAUUCAAUUCCAGAAUGCCUCGAUGGCGCAGAUGCGCACUAAUUUGUAUGCCCGCACUCUUUGGAUUCGUUUUCCGUUGGUUAAAUGGUUAAAUGUAUCUUGGCAGCCUGCUCGCCUCAUAAAUGUGCCCAAAUAAAUUACCCUUAUUUAUCAUUUUA